Molecule: ribosomal RNA, 252 nt
Filed under: uncultured bacterium
Lineage: Bacteria
Description: partial 16S ribosomal RNA
Rfam family: Bacterial small subunit ribosomal RNA
Source: RNAcentral
GAUCCUGGUUCAGGACGAACGCUGGCGGCGUGCCUAACACAUGCAAGUCGAACGGAAGCAAAGAUUUCGGUUUUUGCUUUAGUGGCGAACGGGUGAGUAACGCGUGAGGAACCUGCCUUUCAGUGGGGGGACAACAGUUGGAAACGACUGCUAAUACCGCAUAAUGCUUUUGGAUCGCAUGAUUUAAAAGCCAAAGAUUUAUUGCUGAAAGAUGGCCUCGCGUCUGAUUAGCUGGUUGGUGGGGUAACGGCU